UAAGCAAAGGACAGAAGUUCAACAAACUUAUAUGACAAAGUGAACCUCUUACCUAUGUUGAAUCACUCUGAUGUUAUGUCUUGUUUCUGGCUCUCCUCAAUCCAAUGUUCAAUAAAAAUCAAGAAGCUUUUCUCCACAAUAAUUGCUUCAGUAUUUUUUGGACCUUUUGCCAUGGUUCAGUCUCAGAUGGCUUGCUUUAUCUAACUUCACAGUUCACACGAUACGGACGAGGUUUUGGAGUCCAAAAAAAAUCUCAAUGGAUCCAAACUUGAUUCUACCUUCAAAAUUAACCAGUUCCUCUGAAUGGAGAUGAUACAUAUGCUGCAUGUUUUCUUGACAUUUAAUAGGAGAUAGCAAUGAUAGCUCCAUUAUAAAAUAUUAAAAUUAAUGGACUAAAGAUUAAUUUGACCCUAAACUAAGUAUAUUCAAGAGUAUGAUCAUAGUUACAAAUCAUGCUUCUGCACUGAGUACAAGCUAUCUCUUCUUAGUUGUUUUAACAUGAGUAUGGCAAUGCGCAUCUCAUAGGAACCUUCCUUUCAUAGUACAACAUGGAUAACCUUGAACUCACCUAUGUACUUCUUGUCCAUAUCAAGUUGAUCAUUGUGGUGCAAUGCAUCGCCUAUAACUUUUACUGUCCUAAUGGGUGUGAUCUGGCUGGCUUUCUACACUAUACCUAACAUUGUAGUUCUUAGUGCUUGUGAUUCAAUUUCUGGCAUCACUUUCAUGUUGCCAUCAUAUUAACUUUUCUAGAGCAGCUAUGUCAUCAAUUUGUUGAAGCAGGAUUCACAGAAAGGUACUCAAAUUAAGCUUGGUAUGGUUGAGGUGUCUGCUAAAGUUUUCACAGAUAACAUUUCAUGGGCCAGAGCAACCUAAGUCCAAAGUCAACUUUCCAUGAACUUAACGAGUCACAAACUUAGCUGCACCCAAACAGGUGUGAGAAAAAUGUAGAUGAAAUAGGAGUCUUCUUUGCUACUAUAGUACUAACUCAUAGUACUAAAAAAUACACCUGCUUAGGAGGACUGUUAAAUGUGUAUGUAAAUAUAUACUAGUAUACUGGAAGAAAUAUAAUUGGAUUGUAGUUUUAUGAUCAACUAUUGCAUACAUUUGUUCCUUGUCCUUGUCUAAUUACAAAGAAUGGUCUCAGUCUUGUGAAUCUUGCACACAAUCGGUACAGCAAGCUUUUUCUUAUCUGGAGAAGGCAACUAACCAGGAGCUGUAUGCUUGACAGACAGACGAUUGUGUAAGCCAGGACAUUUCCUCUGCCAUCUGGUGUUUCCAUAGAGCAUCCGAAAAGAGAAAGCAUCCUCGAACAGAAAGCCGAGGAACGAAUCUGGAGUCGAAGAGUAUAAUCCAGUUGAGAUGGCAAGAGAUGAAUUUGAAAUUGCUGCUAAUGCAGGAUGGAGUGAAAUGCAUGGUUGAAAGUUGAAACUUCGUGUUGAGGAAGAGAAAAAGAAAAGUAUGUCGAGCUCUUGAUGUGGGUCUUAAUACAAUAAUAAAUUACUGCAAUUUUUAUUAUUAUUGGUAUUAUUAUU
Salvia hispanica is the source of this 1532-nucleotide non-coding RNA. Lineage: Eukaryota; Viridiplantae; Streptophyta; Magnoliopsida; Lamiales; Lamiaceae. The record is from RefSeq and is a predicted model, not a curated record.